GCUGGGAUGGCAGAUCGGCCAUGCGCGGGCCUGCAGAGCCCGAAAGGGGAGUUCGACUCUCCCUCCCAGCU
RNAcentral lists this transfer RNA (71 nucleotides) under archaeon GW2011_AR5. RNAcentral's name for it is "tRNA-Cys". It matches the Rfam family "tRNA". Rfam says of the family: Transfer RNA (tRNA) molecules are approximately 80 nucleotides in length. Their secondary structure includes four short double-helical elements and three loops (D, anti-codon, and T loops). Further hydrogen bonds mediate the characteristic L-shaped molecular structure. tRNAs have two regions of fundamental functional importance: the anti-codon, which is responsible for specific mRNA codon recognition, and the 3' end, to which the tRNAs corresponding amino acid is attached (by aminoacyl-tRNA synthetases). tRNAs cope with the degeneracy of the genetic code in two manners: having more than one tRNA (with a specific anti-codon) for a particular amino acid; and 'wobble' base-pairing, i.e. permitting non-standard base-pairing at the 3rd anti-codon position. The record is from RNAcentral.